GACGAACCUUGCUACCGUUAUCCGGAUUUAUUGGGUUUAAAGGGUGCGUAGGCGGUUUAUUAAGUCAGGGGUGAAAGACGGCAGCUUAACUGUCGCAGUGCCUUUGAUACUGAUGAACUUGAAUGUACUAGAAGUAGGCGGAAUGUGACAAGUAGCGGUGAAAUGCAUAGAUAUGUCACAGAACACCGAUUGCGAAGGCAGCUUACUAUGGUAUUAUUGACGCUGAGGCACGAAAGCGUGGGGAUCAAACAGG
This 253-nucleotide ribosomal RNA is filed under the name uncultured bacterium. RNAcentral describes it as "partial 16S ribosomal RNA". It matches the Rfam family "Bacterial small subunit ribosomal RNA", at positions 524 to 776 of the family's 1533-position model. The record is from RNAcentral.